UUUGGCCUUUCUGAGCUGUUUUUUCCUCAUUUUUGUGGAUUUAUCUAUCUUUGGUCUUUGAUGCUGGUGACCUUCGGAUGGGGUUUUUGUGUGGACGUCCUUUUUGUUGAUGUUGAUGCUAUUCCUUUCUGUUUGUUAGUUUUCCUUCUAACAGUCAGUCCUCUCUGCUGCAGGUCUGCUGGAGUUUGCUGAAGGUCCACUCCACACCCUGUUUGCCUGGGUAUCACCAGCAGAGGCUGCAGAACAGCAAAGUUUGCUUCCUGUUCCUUCCUUUGGAAGCUUCGUCCCAGAGGGGCACCCACCAGAUGCCAACCAGUGCUCUUCUGUAUGAGGUGUCGGUUGACCCCUGCUGGGAAGUGUCUCUCAGACAGGAGGCAUGGGGUCAGGGACCCACUUGAGGAGGCAGUCUGUCCCUUAGCAGAGUUAGAGCACUGUGCUGGGACAUCCGCUGCUCUCUUCAGAGCUGGCAGGCAAGAACAUUUAAGUCUGCUGAAGCUGCACCUCCUCCCCCAGGUGCUUUGUCCCUGGGAGAUGGGAGUUUGAUCUAUAAGCCCCUUACUGGGGCUGCUGCCUUUCUUUCAGAGAUGCCCUGCCCAGAGAGGAAGAAUCUAGAGAGGAGUCUGGCUACAGCAGCUUUGCCAACCUGUGGAGGGCUCUUUCCAGUUUAAGUUCCAGGUGGAUUUGUUUACACUGUGAGGGGAAAACCGCGCACUUCCCAAGUGAGGCGACUCCCCACCCUGCUUUGGCUCUCACUCUGGGGGCUGCACCCACUGUCUAACCAGUCCCAAUUAGAUUAACUGGGUACCUCAGUUAGAAGUGUAGAAAUCACCUGCCUUCUGUGUUGAUCUCGCUGGGAGCUGCAGCCUGGAGCUGUUCCUAUUCGGCCAUCUUGCCAGCCACCACCUUCUUCUCAUGAGCUUUCAUCUACAAAAUUUAUUCCUUCUUGAUGACUCCUGAUCUCAGUGAAUGUACCAAGUUAGAGACCUAGGAUUCAUUGCUGAUUCCCUCUUCUUGCUCAUUUUCCACAUGCAAUCAGUCUACAAGAUUUGCCUUAUGAUUUUUUACCACAAAAUAUCUCUUGAGGCCAUCUACUUCUCACUAAUUUUACUGCCACUGCCCCAGUAAGUAAGUAUGCUAGCCCCAGUCCAAGCUAGCAUAAUCUCUCUCUCGUCAGCUUCCACUAUGGAGGCUAGAGAGGCAAAAUACUUUAUUUUCCAGUUUCUCUUGCAGAUAGAGGAUGUUCAUGUGAUUUAUUUCUGACCAUUGAGUUGUUACCAGGUGGUCUUCAGAAAGUUCCUGGAAGAUAUUGUUUUCCUAAUAGAAUGUACAGAGAUGCUGGCAUUGUCCCUUGAUAUGUUUCAGCCAUUUUGAAUGCAGACUUCAUGCCCAGAGUUGAAACAGUCAUUCUGUAACCAUGAAGGAAAGGCCACUGAAAUCCACAGAGAUGCUGGCUGGACAUUUUUGAACCACGAAAUGAAUGGCCAUAGCUGCCUAUCUCUCAUCAUACUGUCACGUCUCAAUUAAAGCUAUGCAUGUGCAUUUCUUGAAGAUCAUCACAUCACAAACAGCAGAUGAAAAAAUAGCUUCCUGUGUUCCUAUGAAGACAGGCACUGUGGUUAGUGAUAGCUUUCACUGAACUGGAUUUCAGGACAGCAGUUAGAGAUUGACAUCAUUACCCUUCUGAAUCAAGAGGCGACAUGACUGACAUCACCUUUGAGUUUCCAGCCUCCUGGUGAUAUUGUUUGCUGCAUCUUACACCACAUACCUCAGUCAGCUUACUUUGCCCUGCUUCCAGGCAUCUGUGAACCAUCUGGCCUCUUGACGGAUCUGGCAUAUUUCAUGUAGAGAUGCUGAAUUCCAAAACUGGGCACCUAAAGGCUGAGCAUGAGGGAACAGGUCUUCUAAUCAGGUAUGCUGAUUUGGAGAGAAGACAUUGCAAAAGGCAGCUACAACCUCAGGCUGAAGAUUAGAUGACAGGACACCCAGAGUUUCCUUAGUUAAAUUUGUGAGGCUUUUCCCAGCAUGCCCAGUAAGAGGACAUAGGUAGUGGGGAGCAAAAAGAUAGAAAAGCAAAUGCAUAAAAUUGGCUUGCAGGAGACUGCUGGUUUAUCAACAGUUCCAGGAGAUAGCUAGCAUCACCUCUGCUUUGCCUCCAGCCUUCUGAAAUUAUUUCUAGCCAUGGGUGAGAGGGAUUCUUUCUUCCUCCCCUUCACAUCAAAUGCUGUACUGGAAAUCAAUCAAGCAUGUGGCCAGAGCCAAGAAUUGCAUCAUCAGUGUUUCUGAAUAAGAUCCAGGCAAGAAUGCCUCCCCCUCUGAGGCCUCUUACUGCAGGCCGCUAGGAAGAGCCCUCCAUGACUUGAAGGAUGAGAAAAAAAGCUGGAGCCUGUUGUAAGGCUGUCUAGUCCCAUUAAAAAACAAUGUCAAUGGAGAGAAAAAAGUCUUGUUUAAUAUUCUAUAUAUUUCUAAAGAGUCUGGGAAAAAGUGUGGUGAGGGAAGAGCAAAGAAAGCAAAGAUGUUGCUUUCAAACAUGAUAGGUCAAGUUCAUGGAGUUCUAUAGGUGAACACGUGUCAACAGCAUUCUUUUUUAUGGAGAUGAUUAUUUAUUGAGGUUUGAGUGUGAACCAGUCACUAGCGUAGCUAUUUUAUGUAGAGCAUUUAUUUCAUUCAGUCCUCAAAAUAGCCAAGCAAGUUGAAUGAUAAUACUCCCCUGGGACAAAAAGGUGUUCCGAUAAGUUAUGUAACUUGCUCAAGGUCAUGCAUGUUGUAUGCAGCUUCACACAAUGGUAUCACAUUAAGUAAUAUAAUUACUUAACAACGAGAG
Molecule: long non-coding RNA, 2821 nt
Filed under: Homo sapiens (human)
Lineage: Eukaryota; Metazoa; Chordata; Mammalia; Primates; Hominidae
Description: HSALNT0095789
Source: RNAcentral